RNAcentral lists this unclassified non-coding RNA (177 nucleotides) under uncultured Saccharomycetales. Its description in RNAcentral is "sequence contains ITS1". The record is from RNAcentral. Lineage: Eukaryota; Fungi; Ascomycota; Saccharomycetes.
ACGAAUAUAUGUCUGUUUUAAGACAUUUUUCUAUUUCAAACACCUGUGAAUUUUAUGAAAUUUUUGCUUUGGCUGAAAUUAAAUUAUAUAUUUUUUUUCGGCCAAAAGUUUUUAAUUAAAACCUUUUUAUUUAUAAACAUUUUGAAUCUGAAGACUGUUUUAUGAAAAAUUUAUUUA